UUUAUUUUUAGAUUUAGUAAAUUUAGUACUUCAGCGUUUUAUUUUUUAAAGUUUGUUUUUGAUCUAUUAUUUUAUUUCAGUUUUCUUUCAAUUAACAAAAACGUUAAGAGUUUUAGUUUUAGUUAAUGAUAACAACACUUAAUGGUACUAAAUGACCAGACCCAGCGAAAGGGGUCAAACGCUAGAAGUCCAUCUGUGAGGCCGCCAAGAUUCAUGGAUAAAAGUCUGAUCACAGAGGGGGAGAAACACACAGUAAGAGAGAAACCAGGAUCCUUCCAUCUCUGUCUGUAAAACAACACGAGCGCUCACACGUUCACACUUACGCUGAAGGAGUCGUGAAUGGACCAUCUGACCUCGGAUGACGCAAUGACUCACAGACGGCCCUCGUGGACUCCACCGCACGGCUAAAAACACUCAGCACCAUCUGUUAGCAGCUCGUGAGAUACAGCACAAAUGAUUCACUGCAGAGGAGUCUUAAUGGAAGGGUCUGUCACAACAACUUAUUUAUAAUAGGUAUAUUUCAUAUAUAUUUUAUUUUUCAUUUUGCGGUUUAAAUGUGUCUCAGAUUAUCCGUACCAUCUGCCUUUACAUAAACGCACUGGUGAUACCAUGAUUAAUGGUGAUGGUACACAUAUUAAUAUCAUAAUUACUUCAAAUAUCAAAGAUAAUUCAGUAAAUAGUUCAUGUUUAAAAAAAAAAACCAUAGUAUUUCCAUGAUACCCAUCCAAAAAAUACAUGGAAAUACCACGGUAAAUGUGUGCUAAAUGUGAAAAAAACAAAAAAAAACACUGUGGUAGCACCAUGAUACAUGUGCCAAAAAUAAAAUAAAAUAAAAUCUAAGGAGUACCAUGAAAGAGGCAACCUACAGAAAAAAAACAUGGUAGUUAAAUAGUAAAUGUGCA
RNAcentral lists this long non-coding RNA (902 nucleotides) under Sinocyclocheilus rhinocerous. Its description in RNAcentral is "lncRNA (ENSSRHG00000008300.1)". Lineage: Eukaryota; Metazoa; Chordata; Actinopteri; Cypriniformes; Cyprinidae. The record is from RNAcentral.